AAAACAUGUCCUUUGGAUUAUUUAUUUAAGGUCUGCCCUGCUCUAUGAUUUAUAUUAAAUGGCCGCAGUAUACUGACUGUGCAAAGGUAGCAUAAUCAAUUGUUUCUUAAUUAGGGGCUUGUAUGAAUGGUUGGAUGAGAGAUUAGCUUUUUUAGUUUUAAAUUAAUGAAUUUAACUUUUAGGUUAAAAGGCUUAAAUUUGUUUAUGGGACGAGAAGACCCUAUAGAAUUUUAUUCUUUUAAUUAUUGUAUAUUUUAUUUUUUAUUUUUAUAAUCUUAAAAAGAAUUAUGUUGGGGUGAUAGAGUAAUUUUUUUAACUUACUUUUUAUUUUUAUCAUUAAUUAGUGUUUUAUUGAUCCUUUAUUAAGGAUAAUAAGGUUAAAUUACCUUAGGGAUAACAGCGUAAUUUCUUUGGAGAGUUCAUAUCGAUGAAGGAGAUUGCGACCUCGAUGUUGGAUUAAAGUGGGUUCUAGGUGCAGAAUUUUAGUAACCCGGUCUGUUCGACCAUUAAAGCUCUA
RNAcentral lists this ribosomal RNA (517 nucleotides) under Dysodius sp. RHC-2017. RNAcentral describes it as "partial 16S ribosomal RNA". It matches the Rfam family "Bacterial large subunit ribosomal RNA", at positions 1810 to 2598 of the family's 2925-position model. Lineage: Eukaryota; Metazoa; Arthropoda; Insecta; Hemiptera; Aradidae. The record is from RNAcentral.